Molecule: long non-coding RNA, 248 nt
Organism: Oncorhynchus keta (chum salmon)
Lineage: Eukaryota; Metazoa; Chordata; Actinopteri; Salmoniformes; Salmonidae
Exons: 3
Source: RefSeq, a predicted model, not a curated record
UGAUAUUGUUAAAGGUCAAUGAGAAUGGUUUGUAUCCCUGACCAUGUAUAUCAGUGACUGAUAUUGUUAAAGAAGGUCAAUGAGAAUGGUUUGUAUCCCUGACCAUGUAUAUCAGUGACUGAUAUUGUUAAAGAAGGUCAGUGAGAAUGGUUUGUAUCCCUGACCAUGUAUAUCAGUGACUGAUAUUGUUAAAGAAGGUCAGUGAGAAUGGUUUGUAUCCCUGACCAUGUGUAUCAGUGACUGAUAUU